GACAGAGGGGGCAAGCGUUGUCCGGACUGACUGGGCGUAAAGCGCACGCAGGCGGCGCGGCGAGUGGGGUGUGAAACCUGGCGGCUUAACCGCCAGACGCCAUCCCAAACUGCCGUGCUUGAGCCAUGCAGAGGGUGGUGGAAUUGCCGGUGUAGUGGUGAAAUGCGUAGAGAUCGGCAGGAACACCCAAGGGGAAACCAGCCACCUGGGCAUGGGCUGACGCUGAGGUGCGAAAGCGUGGGGAGCGAACCGG
RNAcentral lists this ribosomal RNA (253 nucleotides) under uncultured bacterium. RNAcentral describes it as "partial 16S ribosomal RNA". It matches the Rfam family "Bacterial small subunit ribosomal RNA", at positions 524 to 776 of the family's 1533-position model. The record is from RNAcentral.